UAGGGAAUCUUCGGCAAUGGGGGCAACCCUGACCGAGCAACGCCGCGUGAGUGAAGAAGGUUUUCGGAUCGUAAAGCUCUGUUGUAAGAGAAGAACGUGUGUGAGAGUGGAAAGUUCACNCAGUGACGGUAACUUACCAGAAAGGGACGGCUAACUACGUGCCAG
RNAcentral lists this ribosomal RNA (165 nucleotides) under uncultured bacterium. RNAcentral's name for it is "partial 16S rRNA". It matches the Rfam family "Bacterial small subunit ribosomal RNA", at positions 355 to 511 of the family's 1533-position model. The record is from RNAcentral.